CAGGCCUUGACAUGUCCAGUUUGGAUUCCAGAGAUGGAUUCCUUCACCUCGGGUGGCUGGAACACAGGUGCUGCAUGGCUGUCGUCAGCUCGUGUCGUGUGAUGUUGGGUUAAGUCCCGCAACGAGCGCAACCCUCGUCCUUAGUUGCCAUCAGGUAAUGCUGGGAACUCUAAGGAAACUGCCCGUGAUAAGCGGGAGGAAGGUGGGGACGACGUCAAGUCAUCAUGGCCCUUACGGCCUGGGCUACACACGUGCUACAAUGGCUGCGACAAUGGGCAGCGAACCCGCGAGGGUAAGCCAAUCCCCAAACGCAGUCUCAGUUCGGAUUGUUCUCUGCAACUCGAGAACAUGAAGCUGGAAUCGCUAGUAAUCGUAGAUCAGCAUGCUACGGUGAAUACGUUCCC
Molecule: ribosomal RNA, 404 nt
Filed under: uncultured bacterium
Lineage: Bacteria
Description: bacterial SSU rRNA
Rfam family: Bacterial small subunit ribosomal RNA
Source: RNAcentral